Helianthus annuus (common sunflower) is the source of this 3289-nucleotide RNA transcript. RefSeq lists it as uncharacterized. The transcript has 9 exons. Lineage: Eukaryota; Viridiplantae; Streptophyta; Magnoliopsida; Asterales; Asteraceae. The record is from RefSeq and is a predicted model, not a curated record.
ACUAGUACGAUUUUCAAUGUAAAUAAUAACGGCCAACUGUAGACGGCCGUCUUAUUGUACACGAUACGUUGUUUAAACGGUGGCUCCCACCGUCAACGUCGCCGUCCGAUUACCUCUGCACAAUUCAAACUCUUUCAAAUCUGAAUUCAAUAGUUGAUUUCUUCAAAUCAAUUCUCCAACGUUCUGUGCAUUUGUUGAAGAAUUUACAGCAAUUUCGAGUUUGCGUGAAAAGUCAAUGGAGGAGGUGAUCACCAUCGCCGACGCGGCGUACCACGCUACCACGGCGGCAGUGACACCGUCGUCUUCGGCUCCGGUGCUUCCGUACAGUGUGCCGCUGUUGUCAGCGUUCCUUGCGUUUGCGAUUGCUCAAUUCCUCAAGGUUAUUACUACCUGGUAUAAGGAAAAGAAAUGGGAUCCUAAAAAGAUUGUGGGCUCAGGUGGAAUGCCUUCAUCUCAUUCUUCAACUGUUGUGGCACUUGCAGUAUCCAUUGGUCUACAUGAUGGCGUUGAAUCAUCAUCAUUUGCAAUUGCUGUUGUUAUGGCUUUUAUCGUUAUGUAUGAUGCAUCUGGAGUCAGACUCCAUGCCGGUCGCCAGGCUGAAGUGUUAAACCAGAUCGUCUGUGAAUUUCCUCCGGAGCACCCGUUAUCCACAUCCAGACCUCUACGUGAUUCUCUUGGGCAUACUCCAUUACAGGUGAUUGCAGGGGCCAUGUUAGGAAUCAUAGUGGCACUUAUGAUGAAAGCAUCUGAGUAGCACUAUAUGUGUUGGCCAAGGUGGAUGAUGCAAGCGUUCAAUUGCUUUUGGCUUUUGAGAGAGAGACAAGAAAGGCAGAAAACCUCAUCCCCAAAUACCCAUUUCAUCGCCUCCCUUUUAGAUCUGAGACCUACAACGCUCUCUCCUUCAAAUUCAUGUCCGCCACCGCUACAAUAACCACCGCUGAAACCAGUUGCAACCAUCUUCCAUCGAUCUUGCCGCUAGGGUUCAACCAUUUCCCACCGCUGAAACAGUUGCAACCAUCUUCCAUGGAAAAAAAUGAUGUUCGUACCCCAAGCAUGUGCUGCUUAUGUGAAGGACAAUUGGGUCCUAACAAAUUUUAGCCAAAACAGGAAUCGGUAGUUGGUGGUGUACAAACAAUGCAUAGAAUAGUAGAGGACAAGUUUCACGAUGGAUAUGUUAUGCAGGGAAAACUUUACAUAUACGACUUUUGGAUGACGUUAUAAGCUCCAUCAAUGGAUGGUAUAUGGAGCGUGGCCUUUUUGGCUUGGUUAGUGUUUGAUCCCAUUGUUAUUUGCUCUUUCUGUAAUUGCAGUUUUGUUUGACUCUACACCAUUAAUCAUGUAAAUGUAUUUUGAGUUCAUUAGGUUUCAGGGGUUGAGUUUCAUUGUGGGGGAAUUUUGAGGUUAGGCUAACAAUAUAUCCAUAUGCUUUCUCAAUAAAACGUACGAGUAAAUCUUUGUUUAUGCUAUUUAUUUAGACAUUGUGUUUGUUUUCUUAAUUACAUUUUGUUUGUAAUUUUUUACUAAGUUUUUAGCAUGUUUAUUAACCAACUAUAUAUUAGAGGAAGCGAUUUUAUCUGCCAACGCCUUCUCUAGAGGUGACAAGAUUUUGCAAUUUGGGUAAUGAGUCAGAACACGUUGUUCGGCUGGUUCGACCCACAAAUUUGUAUGUUUUUUAGAUAAAUAACUGAUGUGUACUUAUGAUCCCAAAUACUAUAUUUCAUACAAUAAUGAUGUAUGUAUUAUAAGUAGACCUCACACUAUUUUCAACCCUAUUAUCUGCCAGCGCCUUCUCUAGAGGUGACAAGAUUUUGCAAUUUGGGUAAUUUCGGCUGGUUCGACCCACAAAUUUGUAUGUUUUUUAGAUAAAUAACUGAUGUGUACUUAUGAUCCCAAAUACGAUAUUUCAUACAAUAAUGAUGUAUGUAUUAUAAGUAGACCUCACACUAUUUUCAACCAUUUUUAACCCAUUCAUUCUAUCUAAGAAAUAGAUGUGACUUGUAACCCUUAAUUCUAGCAUUUAAUCUUUUUUCUACAAGCCUUUAUUAAAAAAAAAUUACUUUAUUCGCUUUUCGUGAUUUCGGUUUAUGCUUAGGUAUUUCUAGGGCUAGCUGUUUAAGGUUCAUAUAACCUUAUGAAUCUUGAAUGACUCAAUUUGGUUAAAGUCUAUCGGGAACAAGUUAGGAAUGGCGCCUUCGACUGAAGAACGGGCCGCUGAAGCCAAGUUUAACGAGGAUGGAAAUACAGGUUUGAAGAAUCAGGCUAAGUAAGGUUAGGCCUUUUAGUUGUUCCACCUCUUAUAUAUGCGUUCAUUGGUAGCUCGAGAGAUAUUGCAAUGGGCCCUGUGGCAGUGGUCUCUCUGUUGCUUGGAACUUUGUUACGAGAUGAGGUUGAGCCAAAAACACCUGAAUAUUUAUGUCUUGCUUUCACUGCAACAUUCUUUGCUGGAGUCACUCAAGCUGCACUCGGGUUUUUCAGAUUGGGUUUUCUGAUCGAUUUUCUGUCACAUGCUGCGAUUGUGGGGUUCAUGGGAGGAGUGGUUGUUACCAUUGCGCUUCAGCAACUUAAAGGGUUGUUAGGGAACAAGGAUUUAAAAAAAAGACUGAUUUAGUUCAUGACCAACUUACUAAACUAAAACUUGUGUUCAUAAAAUAGAAAAUGGAAAAUAGUACUGACAAGUGUGAAAACAUUAUUAUUUUAAAUUAUUUGGUUUCAUGUUAUUUGGAUUUUUUUUUUUUAAAUCAUACAUCAUAUUUUUUUAUAUAUUUUAAAUUUAACUUUUUUAAGCCCGUGUGUCACACGGGAUAUAAGCUAGUUAAGUAUAUAAAGUCUACGUUGUGCUUUAGUGGUCAAUCUAAUAUAUAAGUUGGUACAUGUUUUUGUUAUUUUCGUUUUUUUUUUCUAGAUUCGUUAAGAAGGAUCGUGCUUGGAAGCUUUGAUGCCCCGUUUUGUCUUUGUGGUUGAUGAGUCUACAUCAUACCCCCCACCAGAACAAACAUUUUUGAAGAUCUUGUGAGCAUAAAAAAAAAACAUUUUUGGAAGGUUGUGUAUUGAAGGGUAUUCGGUCGGUAAGGGUGGCUCUUAAGCCGUCUAACACUUAUCCAAUAAUCCACACGUCUUGAAAUACGCCCAGUACUCUUCAGAGCAAAUAUAAAGAGAUGUCAUAUGUGGUCAAUGAAUGCUCUGAGUGACGCCUCUAUGUGUUGAAUCAUAUUACCACGUUAAUAAUGAGUGCAAUUCAAAUAGUUUUUAUCAUAUGUAUAUGUUUCAAGUUCAAGUGAUAAGUAUAUAA